This 372-nucleotide ribosomal RNA is filed under the name uncultured bacterium. RNAcentral's name for it is "bacterial SSU rRNA". It matches the Rfam family "Bacterial small subunit ribosomal RNA", at positions 527 to 898 of the family's 1533-position model. The record is from RNAcentral.
GUAGGUCCCGAGCGUUGUCCGGAUUUAUUGGGCGUAAAGCGAGCGCAGGCGGUUAGAUAAGUCUGAAGUUAAAGGCUGUGGCUUAACCAUAGUACGCUUUGGAAACUGUUUAACUUGAGUGCAAGAGGGGAGAGUGGAAUUCCAUGUGUAGCGGUGAAAUGCGUAGAUAUAUGGAGGAACACCGGUGGCGAAAGCGGCUCUCUGGCUUGUAACUGACGCUGAGGCUCGAAAGCGUGGGGAGCAAACAGGAUUAGAUACCCUGGUAGUCCACGCCGUAAACGAUGAGUGCUAGGUGUUAGACCCUUUCCGGGGUUUAGUGCCGUAGCUAACGCAUUAAGCACUCCGCCUGGGGAGUACGACCGCAAGGUUGAA